AAACUGUUCAGUCGUUUGGCUCUGCAUAGGGUUACGAAUAUGAGUGAAAUCAAGAUGUUUUGGUGUUGGAUUAUAGUAUGCAAUCAGGAAUUGCUUCAUGAGGGAACUGAAUGCCAACAGAACAUUGUAGUGUAAGAAACCUGUGCAGCCUGUUGAUGAUCCCUAUGGCACAAAUGCUGAAAUCGUUUUUGGGAAGUUCUCUGUCCCGCUAGUGGAUUUAUAUCCUGAAAGCAUUAAUCCAGAAGAAACAAAAUUUGGAAUUCCUGAAAGUGGAGAACAGAAUUCUGUUUCUGUGGUCGGAUAGUGCAAUACGAUGCACACCAUACAACAUUGGAAGAUCUUCCGUUUGAAGAAAAGAAGAUUAAUGAAAACAUGUUAUGGCACUUACAGCGCAAUGAAGCUGUAAAUUUCUAGUUCCUUUAGUUAAAUUUUGUUCGUUUGUUUUAAUUUAAUUUUAGAAAUGGUGCUUUUCCUUUAUUGUAAAAUUAUAGAACUUUUUUAUUAUGUUACAGCUUGAUAUUCUUUAUAUUUAAUUUCUGUCAGUUAUAUUUGUGAAAAUUCACUUUGAAAUCAUUGAAACAUGUCAACUGAGUCGGAGGUACUGUAUAAUGGAGCAGGGAAUGUGAAGAAGAGAGACUUGAAAUUCAGUGCAGCUUUUAUGCGUUGGAGUGGCAGGAAGCAGAAAAUGAUGAUCACCUUAUGGGAAGAGGGAAAAUAGUAAAUGAUCUCUGGACCCUGACAACCUGCCAAAUUGCACUCAUAAGACAUCAUAAAACCAUAAGACAUCGUAGCAGAAUUAGGCCAUUCAGCCCAUCGAGCCUGCUCCGCCAUUCCAUCAUGGCUCCCUCUCAAUGCCAUUCCCCUGCCUUCUACCCAUAACCUUGAAUACCCUGACUAAUCAAAAACUUAUUGACCUCCGCUUUAAAUAUAAUCAAUACAUGGUCUCCACAGGCAUCUUGUGGCAAAGAAUUAAGAAUUCACACAAUUCAAAUUCCUCCCAAGAAUGGAGGAAAUGCCAAGUCUGAGACACCAAAGGAGGGUAUAAAGAGAAUCUUGGCAGGAACAGAAUGGGUGAUAUCAUUGAUUCCCUUAUAGCAAAUGCUCUGUAAUCCAUCUAACUGGAACAUCACUGUUCAAAUGUGGUGAUAUCUGUUAUGUGUAUCUAUUGAUUUGUAUAUGAUUGUAGUAUUCAUGAUCCUUCAAUGAGCUGACAUCCAUUUCAAUGGAGAAUAAUAUAUCAAUAGAAGAUAUUUUAACUCAUUCUACCCCACACAUCCCAAUUUCACCUCAUUGCUAUUUCCCAGCAGUGGCCCCACUCUCCUGCCAAGCAUGCUAUAUUGGCACCAAAAUAUUGUCAAUGCUUGUGUUGGUUACAAAAACAAAUGAAGCAAUUCACUGCAAGUGUCAAUGUGAAUGUGAUAAACAGAAUGAAUCUACCUGAACCUUGCUUCCCUUAUAUUAAAGCUCCCACCAGUGUCUGUUUUGAAUGUACUUAGUGACAGAGACUACACAGCCCUCUUAACAAGAGAAUUCUUAGGAUUCACUACCCUCUUGGUGAAGAAAUGUUCUUUGUUUCAGUCUAGAUAGGCUGCCUCUUGAUUUUUAGUCGGUGACACCAGUUUCGGACACACAGCCAGAGAAAACAUUGCUCGAUCUCCUUGCCAAGCCCAGUAGGAAUUUGGGGUAUUUCAGUUCUUAAGCCUCUUGCUUCCAGAGUGUAUAGCCCAAACUGCGCAAUCCUUCAUUGUAAAACAGUCCCACCAUUUCCAACCCGGACUCAACUCUGUGAACUGUCAUCGCACUUCUCCAAGAAAAUCCUUGCUCAAGUUGGGAGGGCAAACCUAAAUAUAAUAUUCCUGUUCACUUUCACCAAAACCUUUGUAAAUAUACUACAAUCACUUUAAUUUUUAUCAAGCUGUUUUAAGUUAAUAAAAUAAUCUUAAAUAUUAAUACUACUACCUACACUAUUGUACCAACUUCUGUGUGAAUAUCUGUAUUUAAAAAAAA
Hypanus sabinus (Atlantic stingray) is the source of this 2007-nucleotide long non-coding RNA. RefSeq lists it as uncharacterized. The transcript has 4 exons. The record is from RefSeq and is a predicted model, not a curated record. Lineage: Eukaryota; Metazoa; Chordata; Chondrichthyes; Myliobatiformes; Dasyatidae.